RNAcentral lists this ribosomal RNA (253 nucleotides) under uncultured prokaryote. RNAcentral's name for it is "partial 16S ribosomal RNA". It matches the Rfam family "Bacterial small subunit ribosomal RNA", at positions 524 to 776 of the family's 1533-position model. The record is from RNAcentral.
UACAGAGGUCUCGAGCGUUGUUCGGAUUCAUUGGGCGUAAAGAGCUCGUAGGCGGCUUGUCGCGUCGUUCGUGAAAACCCGAGGCUCAACUUCGGGCUUGCGGUCGAUACGGGCAGGCUGGAGUUCGGUAGGGGAGACUGGAAUUUCUGGUGUAGCGGUGAAAUGCGCAGAUAUCAGGAGGAACACCGGUGGCGAAGGCGGGUCUCUGGGCCGAUACUGACGCUGAGGAGCGAAAGCGUGGGGAGCGAACAGG